Molecule: ribosomal RNA, 327 nt
Filed under: Skeletonema menzelii
Lineage: Eukaryota; Bacillariophyta; Thalassiosirophyceae; Thalassiosirales; Thalassiosiraceae
Description: partial Bacterial small subunit ribosomal RNA
Rfam family: Bacterial small subunit ribosomal RNA
Source: RNAcentral
UUUGGAGAGUUUGAUCCUGGCUCAGGACGAACGCUGGCGGCGUGCUUAACACAUGCAAGUCGAACGAUGAAGCCUAGCUUGCUAGGUGGAUUAGUGGCGAACGGGUGAGUAAUACGUGAGUAACCUACCUUUAACUCUGGGAUAAGCCUGGGAAACUGGGUCUAAUACCGGAUACGACCAAUCUCCGCAUGGGGUGUUGGUGGAAAGCGUUAUGUAGUGGUUAUAGAUGGGCUCACGGCCUAUCAGCUUGUUGGUGAGGUAACGGCUCACCAAGGCGACGACGGGUAGCCGGCCUGAGAGGGUGACCGGCCACACUGGGACUGAGAC